GACCAGUUCUUGUAAACAUUUCACACAACCAUUUCAUAUAACCAUUCGUCAUCUGAUACAUUUUACCUGAAUAUCAAUUGUUCAACAGAUGUUAUAGCGUCUCCCAUCCACGGUCUUAUUUAUCUUUGACGUGAUGCCAUAGUGUCUUUCAACUAUGGUCUUACUCAUUUUCUGUCAUGUUGCCAUGGUAUCUUUCAACCAUGGUCUUACACAUCUCAUAUCAGGUUGCCAUGGUAUCUUUCAACUAUGGUCUUACACAUUUCAUAUCAGGUUGCCAUGGUAUCUUUCAACCAUGGUCUUACACAUUUCAUAUCAG
RNAcentral lists this long non-coding RNA (316 nucleotides) under Gossypium barbadense (sea-island cotton). Its description in RNAcentral is "long non-coding RNA (GBAR_LNC008476)". The record is from RNAcentral. Lineage: Eukaryota; Viridiplantae; Streptophyta; Magnoliopsida; Malvales; Malvaceae.